AGUAAAUACAGCAGAAUAAUUAUGACAAAUAUACUUGAACAGCAUUAAUUAUCUACAAGUAAAAUAAAAGUUUUCUUUCCAGUUCUGGAAAAGUAAGAGCUAUGUUUCUGUUGAUUCAAAUAAAAUGUAAAUAUUCCCCCCAGAAGGGAUUGUGCUUUUUAAAGGCACCUCCCUGGCUGGACAGAUGGAUCCAGCAGCAGUCUGAUGAGAUUUACUUUAGCUUUACCAUACUUAUCCUCAUGUAUUUGAAGUUAAAACACUUGUCCAGGGAUGAGCUGGUGUCAGUAUUUAUUUAAGAGAGAAAUACCUAGACCUUUUUUCUGCUUUAGCAAAUGGAUAAUUGUCUGAUGUAUUGGUGUCAUGCUUGUUUCAUUAACAGGUAGAGUAACUUUUAGAACAGGCCUACCAGGACUCCCUGGACAGCCAGGGUGUGCAGGACCUCCAGGACCUCCAGGAGACAUGGGCAUGAAAGGUGAUGAAGCUUGCGUGUGUACUGAUUGCAGCUAUAUUCCAGGAACACCUGGUCUUCCUGGUUCUCCUGGGCCACGUGGCCAGGAUGGCAUCCCUGGUAAAUGAUCUCAGUGUUCCUCAUGGGAUAAUAGAAAAUGCUAGUACUUUUAACAUGAGAAUCAGGACUGGUAUGAGCAUGUCUGCAGCAUGUAAUAUUCUGGGUCCCUG
This 678-nucleotide long non-coding RNA is filed under the name Phasianus colchicus (ring-necked pheasant). RNAcentral's name for it is "lncRNA (ENSPCLG00000008111.1)". The record is from RNAcentral. Lineage: Eukaryota; Metazoa; Chordata; Aves; Galliformes; Phasianidae.